AUGAUGAAUUUACAUCCUCUCCCGUGCUAUGAAUAUUUGGUCUUCAAUGGUACUUAUGAUGAGCUAGUAGACAACGUGUCUUUGGGGGUCUAUGAUGGUGCAGUAGGCGAUGUGACCAUAACGGCUGAACGAGUCACCACCACCGACUUUACAAUGCCAUACACACAGUCUGGUGUGUCUAUGCUUGUGCUUGCCGAGGAUGAACCGGAUACAAUCCGCUGGACAUUUGUAAAGCCACUAACUCGGAAGCUCUGGUUGGCAACCGUGGUCUUUUUCUUCUAUACUGGCUUUGUCGUGUGGAUGAUUGAACUACCUAGAAAUCAGGAGUACCAAGGAUCAAGUUUGAGACAGUGUAGCACCGCCCUCUACUUUGUUUUCUCCACUUUGACAUUUUCUCAUGGUCAUACUAUUAAAAGCCCCUUGUCAAAAAUUGUUGUGGUGAUAUGGUGCUUUGUAGUGCUGAUUCUUGUCCAGAGCUACACAGCAAGCCUGUCAUCCAUUUUGACUGCAAAGAGACUCCGUCCUUGGAUGACAGAUUUUGACCAACUCCGGCACAGUGGUGACUUUGUAGGAUACCAAGAUGAUUCAUUUGUGCGGUCGUUCUUGAUGAAUCAUAACAUCAGUGAAAGCAGGUUAAGGAACUACACCACGAAAGAAGAAUAUGCUGAUGCUUUGUGGAAGGGGUCCAAUAAUGGAGGGGUGUCAGCUAUCGUCGAUGAGAUCCCCUAUUUGACUUCUUUCCUCUCAGACCGUCGGUAUGGAAAUGAUUUUAGGAUGCUCGGGUGCAUUUACAAGACUCCUGGAUUUGGUUUUGCAUUUAAUCUAGGUUCUCCGCUAGUUCAUAAUCUUUCGACUGCCAUCCUGAACCUAGCAGGAGGGGAUGAGGGAUCACGAAUCGAAGUGAAAUGGUUUGGCACAAAUUCAUCGCCGAUACGUGCUGGCACAAUCCCAGACACUGAUUCCGCGCCUCUCACUUUAGAAAGUUUCUCUGGUCUCUUCGUCAUCACGGGAUCCAUUUCAACUCUCAUGUUGCUGAUAAGCAUUAUGAGAUUUAUUUAUGCCAAAUGCAUUGAGUUGAGAAGGGCUGAUGUGGAAAGUGUCAGCUACACUGGCACCGACGAUGACGAUGAGUCUCGUCUGUUGCAGAAUGGCAUAGGUGGCAACCCUAGCCCUGAUCAACAACCAUUACAUGAAGCUGGCAAUAAUCAUUCCGGGGGUGUCCAUAUGAGUGGCGAAAAUGCUGGGGACACAGAGCCUGAUCCAGUGCAGCAGAAUGGCAUGCAUGGUGGCUCUGUCCCUGCAGGACACACUCAGAUUGAGAUGUGCGAUGUCUAA
This 1335-nucleotide ribosomal RNA is filed under the name Triticum aestivum (bread wheat). Its description in RNAcentral is "partial small subunit ribosomal RNA". The record is from RNAcentral. Lineage: Eukaryota; Viridiplantae; Streptophyta; Magnoliopsida; Poales; Poaceae.